GACCUCGUUCUAAUUAAUUACAUCUGCAAGGACCUUAUUUCCAAAUAAGGUGACAUUCUGAGGUCCUGGGGGUUAGGACUUCAACAUCAUUUUUGGAGAAAACCAUUCGACCUUUGACAAUGCCCAAGUAAAACGGUUUCAUUUUUAGCGAGUGGACGUUCGAGUUCUCUAUUUGAGGCAUUUUUCUCAAGGAUUUCUAACAAUAGCUCACGUUAUAGGUUGCGUUUAUUUUUCACCAUAAUGAUUUUUAAAAUGUCAAAGCCUUGGCCCAACGACAUGGGACUAAGCCAGUGGAUCACAAACAUCCUGGAGAGCAGUGACUCUGUGAUUCCAUCACAAGAAUAUGAAGGACUGAGAAGAUCUCCAGCUCUGCCCAUUGCACCUUCCCAUUGAGAAGCAGCAUGGCACCCUGGUGGCAGGGGCUGAUACUCAGCCGGGCCAGGGUGCUCUCCUGUUAACCAUAACCAAGCUCACAGGACAUGGGAUGAGCCCACUGUGUGACACAGGGAGCGGGACACAGUCUGUUAAGUCUUGCACAGCCAUGCUCUGCCACGCAGGCAGGCCUUUCCUUGGCCUCCCUCUCCCUGUUCGUGCUCAUGUGAACAUCCACCUACGUGGAUAGACUGGGCUUUGGUUCAUUAUUGCUCUGUGAAUUCCUCGAACUUCCGCAUCUGCCCAACCUCCCCCACCCCAUUGUUUUCAUUGUGUUUCACCAAAUGGAAAUUCUAGAGUAAGCAUGUGAGUCCUCUCCCAAACUUGUUCACUGUUGAGAGUGCUAAAAUGCUAACCCCAGAUGCUAACUGAGGGGUAGGGUUACCUUAUCUUUAGAGCACUGCGAAUUGUAUGUUAAGUGGAACUUAAUGAAAAAAUAGUUAAUUGACCAACAUGAAUAUCCCCUGAACAGAAUCUCCCCUGAACAGAAUCCUACAAUGAAACUAAGGGAGAUAAAUAAAGCUGUUU
Long non-coding RNA from Homo sapiens (human), 960 nucleotides. Ensembl annotates it as long intergenic non-protein coding RNA 3082. Lineage: Eukaryota; Metazoa; Chordata; Mammalia; Primates; Hominidae. The record is from Ensembl.